CCUACGGGUGGCAGCAGUAGGGAAUAUUGCUCAAUGGGGGAAACCCUGAAGCAGCAACGCCGCGUGGAGGAUGAAGGUUUUCUGAUUGUAAACUCCUUUUGUUAGAGAAGAUAAUGACGGUAUCUAACGAAUAAGCACCGGCUAACUCCGUGCCAGCAGCCGCGGUAAUACGGAGGGUGCAAGCGUUACUCGGAAUCACUGGGCGUAAAGAGCGCGUAGGCGGGAUAGCAAGUCAGAUGUGAAAUCCUAUGGCUUAACCAUAGAACUGCAUUUGAAACUGUUAUUCUAGAGUGUGGGAGAGGUAGGCGGAAUUCUUGGUGUAGGGGUAAAAUCCGUAGAGAUCAAGAGGAAUACUCAUUGCGAAGGCGACCUGCUAGAACAUAACUGACGCUGAUGCGCGAAGGCGUGGGGAGCAAACAGGAUUAGAUACCCGGGUAGUC
RNAcentral lists this ribosomal RNA (440 nucleotides) under uncultured bacterium. RNAcentral describes it as "partial 16S ribosomal RNA". It matches the Rfam family "Bacterial small subunit ribosomal RNA", at positions 338 to 795 of the family's 1533-position model. The record is from RNAcentral.